RNAcentral lists this long non-coding RNA (865 nucleotides) under Gossypium raimondii (Peruvian cotton). RNAcentral describes it as "long non-coding RNA (GRAI_LNC006674)". The record is from RNAcentral. Lineage: Eukaryota; Viridiplantae; Streptophyta; Magnoliopsida; Malvales; Malvaceae.
AAUGUUUAGGUAACAUUUUUCAUCAUUUUGGCCAGCUAAAUGUCUGGUAUAUGUAAUGGCUUUAUGCAUUUAUUCAAUGUAAUGAAAAUCUUUUAAAUUCUUCUUCAUUUUCUGGUUUUACUUGAGCACUUUUAAGUUCACAAAACUAUAGCCGAUUCUCUUGUUUGAUCAGCAAGAAAUUGAAGCUUAUUGCUUAAGUUUCUGUCAAAGUUUCACAUUGUUCCAACAAAAAAGCUCAUACGGACAUGCUUGGUGGAAUUGAAGAAACUUGCAGAAGCAGAAGAUUUGAGUUGGAAAUGAUGUUAGACUCAUUCAAUCAGUCUUUUCUCCUGAAAGUGAGUCAAAUUUAAUUGCUUGACAUCAAAAGCACUAUCUCUACUUUAUCUUCCAUACGUAAUUAUGUAUGUAUCUAUAUUUACUUGAUGCAUAUUCGUCUUCGUAUACAUAUUAAUUAUAUUAGGGUUUCUUUAGAAAGAAAAUACAAGUGUUGAACAUGAGGGCUGAAACCAAUUGCUUUUCUCCCAUACAGGAGUUCAUUCGACCAAUAGGAUUUGAUGACCAUGUUAACUUGGGAUGAACGAAAGAUGGGUGUGAAGUUUAAUGAUGAAAAUGAUAGUAAUUAAGUAGUAGUUGGAUUGUUACACCUUCUUUGCUUUCUUCGACAAUUUCAUUAAAGUGCCUGCCUUGCAUGUGGGUGAAGUUGAGCCAAACACCAAUGAAACAAGAUUACUUUCCAAUCAACUAUAAUUCAAAUUUUUAAGUUUUUGAUGUAAUAUUUGAUUAAAAUUUUGAAAAAGUUAUAUCCAUAAAAUUAAUUCAUUAAACACUUUAGUAGAAAAUGUUAUAGUAAUUUUUGAAGUUAGAC